This 442-nucleotide ribosomal RNA is filed under the name uncultured bacterium. RNAcentral describes it as "bacterial SSU rRNA". It matches the Rfam family "Bacterial small subunit ribosomal RNA", at positions 28 to 507 of the family's 1533-position model. The record is from RNAcentral.
GAUGAACGCUGGCGGUAUGCCUAACACAUGCAAGUCGUACGAGGGUUUUUAACUCUAGUGGCGGACGGGUGAGUAACACGUGAGAAUUUGCCUUUAGGAGGGGGAUAACAAUCGGAAACGAAUGCUAAUACCCCAUAUGCUUUCGAGUGAAAUGGAUUUAUCCGCCUAAAGAGAAGCUCGCGGCUGAUUAGCUUGUUGGUAAGGUAAGAGCUUACCAAGGCGACGAUCAGUAUCUGGUUUGAGAGGACGAUCAGACACACUGGAACUGAGACACGGUCCAGACUCCUACGGGAGGCAGCAGUGGGGAAUUUUCCGCAAUGGGCGAAAGCCUGACGGAGCAAUACCGCGUGAGGGAAGACUGCCUAUGGGUUGUAAACCUCUUUUUUCUAGGGAGGAAUAAAAUAGACGUGUACCUGAAGAAUAAGCAUCGGCUAACUCCGUG